CAAGAUAAAGCUUAAUAGUUAAGUGUUUCAUUUACACUGAAAAUUUUUCUGUGCAAUUCAGGGUAUCUUGA
This 71-nucleotide transfer RNA is filed under the name Chrotogonus sp. TAMUIC IGC OR284. RNAcentral's name for it is "tRNA-Val". It matches the Rfam family "tRNA". From Rfam's summary of the family: Transfer RNA (tRNA) molecules are approximately 80 nucleotides in length. Their secondary structure includes four short double-helical elements and three loops (D, anti-codon, and T loops). The record is from RNAcentral. Lineage: Eukaryota; Metazoa; Arthropoda; Insecta; Orthoptera; Pyrgomorphidae.